Molecule: long non-coding RNA, 1677 nt
Filed under: Homo sapiens (human)
Lineage: Eukaryota; Metazoa; Chordata; Mammalia; Primates; Hominidae
Description: HSALNT0002045
Source: RNAcentral
CAGACACUGGGACUCGGAGAGCUUGGCUAACCCCACAUCACACAGCCGCCGAGCCAGGAUCUGAACCCCAUUUGGUCUGACCCCAAGUCUUCAUUCUUUUCGCUGCACCAACUUGUUGUCCAUGAAAAUCUGAGUGGGUGAGAAGAGCAAAGGCGGCCUGAAUUCUUUUAAGCCCAGAUUCCCAGCCAGGCUUACCAAUGGGAAACAGGAAAUUCCAGGUUCAUCCUUCAGCAGGUGCAUGUUGGGCAUGUGGGGAUACCAGGUUCUGUAAAAACCGAGAUGAAAAAAAAUCCAGCCGCUACUGGAGAGGAACUUAACAGUCUCAGUGGGGGCAUGCAUGUGAAACCGACAGAACCACUGACAUGGGAGGGAAACGGCCAGCGCGGGACCGAGGCUGAGAAGGCACAGAGGAGGGAGGCGACACCCAUGGGGAACGGGCCAUCAGCCGCCCCCAGGAGCAGCAAGGCCGCUCUGUAGAAUUUUCCAGAAAUUGCAACCUGGCUCUCAGGAGGUCUCAGAGUGUUGAGGAGGGUGGCUCAGGCUUGAGUGCAAUUGCAGAAGCAGGCAAUGACUCAUCCUGUGUUUAUCAGAAACUCUACAACACAAAAAUCCACUAAAAUAAAUCCAUAUGGCCAACGCCAGAGCGCCUGACAAUGAGACAGAUUCUUGCCUUUUACGAACAUCCGCAGACAAUUAGCACACCCUCCUGGUCACAUGCUGGGAAAUUUUCCCUUCUUUCCCUUUAUUCCUGCUUUUGCAAUCUGGGAGGAACAACAAAAGGAGUCUCUCUGUGCCUCUGUCCCUCAGAUGGGGGUGCACGGGCUUCCACCAGCAAAACAUUUCCAUGUGGCUCUCGAUGGGCAGGGGACUCAGCGGCCAGCAUGGACCUGCUUUUCUAAAACUUGGGUCUGAGUCCAGGUCCAGCCCCUUCUUUGCUAUGUGGACUUUGAGGAGCAAUUGAAUCUCUGUGUCUUGUUACCAUUCAGCCAGCUGUCCACCAAUUCAGAGCGUGUUCACUGAGCACCUGCUACGUGCUGGCCUUGGGUUAAGUGCUGGAGAUAUCAAUGUGCCCUCCUGGAGCGUGUGGACCAGAGAGACAGAAUUAAACCACUAACAACAAAUAAGAGUGAGGGCUGUGGUCUCAGAGGCCUUGCAGUGGACACAUGGACAGAAAGUCCAGUCCUGGGGAGUCAAUGACACGCAAGAUAAAUCUCUGAGCAGCAAGGACAGUCAAGAUGCAAGCGUCGCUCCUUGGACUCUGAAACCUGUGUCAUUUCCUCCCUGCUUUGCAGUGCUGCCCACACAACAGCUGUUGGGUGCCGGGUAGGUCUACUGAAUUCUCCAUUCCUUUAACUUCAGGCUAACACAUCAUAAUUGGUUAUCAUUUCUUAAAUAUACCUCCCAGGAGCAGUAGUCAAUGCACUUUUAUUGACAGUGUCUGCAGAGCAAGUUCAUGGAAGUUCUAACCCAAGGGUCUCCUGCCCUGCUGGUUCACUCUUCCUCUGCCUAUCCCUUUCUAGCUCUCUUUCUUUCGUGCUGUCCCUGGGCUCUUCUCAUCUUCCUAGGAAGAGCAGCAUCAGGAUCUAACCAGGCCUCCCAUCACGCUGCACCCCUGCCUGAAUUGAGUCUGAAAGUCUGCUUCCACUUCCUCCCUGGGAUUUUUAACCUUUUUUUUUU